Long non-coding RNA from Marmota monax (woodchuck), 1197 nucleotides. RefSeq lists it as uncharacterized. The transcript is spliced from 3 exons. Lineage: Eukaryota; Metazoa; Chordata; Mammalia; Rodentia; Sciuridae. The record is from RefSeq and is a predicted model, not a curated record.
AAGACUGGCUUUCCUGAAAGAAGGGGAAAUUCUUCUAGCAGACAGCUUUUGGACUUAACUGUAACAUCAACUUUUCCCUAGGUCUCCAUCCUGGCAGCCUACCCUGCAGAUUUUGGACUUGACAGCCUCCAAAAUCAUGUGCAACAUAAGUGGACUCGAGAAGCAGAGCCUUGAAAAACAAGUAAAGGCUAACAGCAGACAUGUUGAAUAUUGAAUCCAGUCAAGGGCCAGACGAAGGCUGCAGGAGCUGAGGUCUUGGUGCUAAUUAGUCAGCCUCAGAUAUCUGGAACAGCAAAUGUGAAGUGGAGUGCAGAGAAUCCAGCCAAGAACUGUGAGACCAGGGAAUGGCCACACCUCGGGCCAGAAGGAGCCUGUCCCCCUGCACCAUCACAUGGAAUCUCUCCACCCAACCCAACAGUGUGAUGUAGCACAAAACAAUGAAAUACAUUUAGAACGUGCUUAUUUAGUCAGAUUUAUAAUAUUUUUUAAAAAAUAUUCUCCCUCUACCAAAUUGGAGAUGCUGAAAUUAUUGUUCUGGGAGGGUGUAUCCUUGGUAGUGGGUGGUUGCUUUGUCACUAAAUAAUAUGGAAUGCAUCACAGUGCUCCUCAAACUUGAAAGUCCCUGAGAGUCACCUGGGGAUCUGGUUAAAAUGCAGAUGUUGAUUUAGUAAGCGGCCAUGACCCUGUUUUCCUAAGGAGUCCUGGUGAUACCCAUGCUGCUGGCCCAUGAACCACUGGGUGAGAAUCUCCUCCAAGAUUGUUGGAGGAGAGAAGUUUGUGUGACCAAGAGGACAGGUUGUUGGAGCCCUGUAUUGAAAUGUAUUGAAAUCAACAAGAAUAGAGAAAGUAGUAUAGGGGAGAACAAAUGAGCCAGGAACUGAAAUAAUCAAACAAUGAACUGGGAGUAGAGAAUAGCAACAAGGAGAGGUAAUGGGUGGAAGGAAGUGCAGAGGACUGUUAACCAGGGAGGAGAGUAAAUGGUAUGGAAACAGUGUUUGGGGGCAAGGGCAAAAUCAUUCAGCCUCCAGGCCCAAGGGUUGGAAGAAUGAGGGAAAAGCAUCACUGGUGCAGAACGGGGUUGCCUAGGCAGUGGUGUCUCAGGGAUCCAGGGGAAGGGAAGGUUCAGGACGGAGAGAAGGGACUUGGCUAGAGGAUUGUGAAGCGAAAGGGCACAUGGAGGGGUCUUGAAAUGGGAAG